RNAcentral lists this ribosomal RNA (923 nucleotides) under uncultured bacterium. RNAcentral describes it as "bacterial SSU rRNA". It matches the Rfam family "Bacterial small subunit ribosomal RNA", at positions 1 to 917 of the family's 1533-position model. The record is from RNAcentral. RNAcentral also lists the same sequence under 1 other name.
UGGAUCCAGACUUUGAUCAUGGCUCAGGAUGAACGCUAGCUACAGGCUUAACACAUGCAAGUCGAGGGGCAGCGGGAUUGAGGCUUGCUUCAAUUGCCGGCGACCGGCGCACGGGUGAGUAACGCGUAUCCAACCUUCCGUACACUCAGGGAUAGCCUUUCGAAAGAAAGAUUAAUACCUGAUGGUAUGAUGAGAUUGCAUGAUAGCAUCAUUAAAGAUUUAUCGGUGUACGAUGGGGAUGCGUUCCAUUAGGUAGUAGGCGGGGUAACGGCCCACCUAGCCAACGAUGGAUAGGGGUUCUGAGAGGAAGGUCCCCCACAUUGGAACUGAGACACGGUCCAAACUCCUACGGGAGGCAGCAGUGAGGAAUAUUGGUCAAUGGACGAGAGUCUGAACCAGCCAAGUAGCGUGAAGGAUGAAGGUCCUACGGAUUGUAACUUCUUUUAUAAGGGAAUAAACCCUCCCACGUGUGGGAGCUUGUAUGUACCUUAUGAAUAAGCAUCGGCUAACUCCGUGCCAGCAGCCGCGGUAAUACGGAGGAUGCGAGCGUUAUCCGGAUUUAUUGGGUUUAAAGGGAGCGCAGACGGGUCGUUAAGUCAGCUGUGAAAGUUUGGGGCUCAACCUUAAAAUUGCAGUUGAUACUGGCGUCCUUGAGUGCGGUUGAGGUGUGCGGAAUUCGUGGUGUAGCGGUGAAAUGCUUAGAUAUCACGAAGAACUCCGAUUGCGAAGGCAGCACACUAAUCCGUAACUGACGUUCAUGCUCGAAAGUGUGGGUAUCAAACAGGAUUAGAUACCCUGGUAGUCCACACGGUAAACGAUGGAUACUCGCUGUUGGCGAUAUACUGUCAGCGGCUUAGCGAAAGCGUUAAGUAUCCCACCUGGGGAGUACGCCGGCAACGGUGCAACUCAAAGGAAUUGACGGA